CAGUGGUUCCUUGCAUAGAAAGACUUAAAAUCUUGUCGGGGGUGGUAAAUCCAGAGGAUCUUCAGUUGAGUUCUACUGACAAGAGACUUCUUAAUGCUUACAAGGACAAACCAGUUCUGUCACGCCCUCAGCAUGAUUUUUUCAAGUCCUUGGAAACUUUGGUCUCGGCUCAAACAGAUUCAUUUCUGAUCGUUAUUCCUCAAAUCAUACAGUGUCUGAAUAUCACGUGUACGAGUUCUUUAGGGUUCAAAAUCACAAUGCUUUUGUGCUUUUCGGUGGUCUAAAUAUAGGGAUGUGGAACUGUUCUCGUGAGGAAGGUACAACGAGCUUUCUACGUUUUCUAUGACUUCAGUAACUUCGUACCAAGUAAAUAUUCAUAAACGCCGUGUAUUAGAGACUACAUGCUCUUACAAAGGUUAAAGCAACUACAUACUUUUACGUUUUAAUUUAACAGGUGUCUUCCGAUUGAAUCUUGUAGAGUUCCUGUUAUCAUCUUUGCAUUGGGUGAUAUGUGAGUUUGAGCAGCUUCAAAGAUCCACUUAUGAGUCCUGGUAGAAAUAUAAUAAGAGUAAUUGUUUGAAAAUUUGAACUCCAACACUCCUGAAGUAUCAUUUAAGCCGGUGAAGAAGUUGGAUAAGCUUCUUUGGAUGUGGAUAGUUGCUGCGAGUGUAGAGUUAAGGAGGGAGUAGAAUUGUACUGUAGAAAAUAAGAAUAGCAAGAGGAAAAGCUGAACUGUUUAGUUGUCCCUGGAUUGUUUAGAGGAUAAUCAGGAUUUAUCCCUGGACUGUUUAGUUCUAAGAAGAUUACAUUCAUAUUGUUUUUUUCUAUAUUAUACUCUCAGCUCCCCAAUGACGAGUU
This is a long non-coding RNA of Spinacia oleracea (spinach), 858 nucleotides long. RefSeq lists it as uncharacterized. The transcript has 4 exons. The record is from RefSeq and is a predicted model, not a curated record. Lineage: Eukaryota; Viridiplantae; Streptophyta; Magnoliopsida; Caryophyllales; Amaranthaceae.